AGUCGUAACAAGGUUUCCGUAGGUGAACCUGCGGAAGGAUCAUUAUCAUAUAUUUCCAAAUUUAAAACCACUUGAUAUUCAAUGUGAUUUAGUUCACAUUCUUUAUCAAGUUGGCACACCAUGUGAACUUUAUAAAGUCCAUAACCCCAUUUUUUUAAACACCAUUUGUUUAAUCUGUUUGUAGUGUUUGUAACUCUUCUUCUACCUAUCUUUCUCUCAUACGUGAGGAAAGGGUAGAUAGAUCAAGAAACACAAAUGAAAAAUCUAUAUACAAUCUUUAACGAUGGAUAUCUCGGCUCGU
RNAcentral lists this unclassified non-coding RNA (301 nucleotides) under fungal sp. RNAcentral's name for it is "partial internal transcribed spacer region". The stretch from base 1 to 45 matches the Rfam family "Eukaryotic small subunit ribosomal RNA", at positions 1787 to 1831 of the family's 1831-position model. The record is from RNAcentral. Lineage: Eukaryota; Fungi.